RNAcentral lists this unclassified non-coding RNA (182 nucleotides) under Favolus tenuiculus. Its description in RNAcentral is "partial ITS1". Lineage: Eukaryota; Fungi; Basidiomycota; Agaricomycetes; Polyporales; Polyporaceae. The record is from RNAcentral.
GGCUGGCCCUUCCGAAGGCAUGUGCACGCCCUGCUCAAUCCACUCUACACCUGUGCACUUACUGUGGGUCUUCGAGCAAUGGGGGUUUAUAAUUUCUUAUAAGCCUUCGUUUGAAGCCCACGUUUACACACAAACACUUAUAAAGUAAAAGAACGUGUAUUGCGAUGUAACGCAUCCAUAAU